GAUGAACGCUGGCGGCGUGCCUAAUACAUGCAAGUCGAGCGAACGGACGAGAAGCUUGCUUCUCUGAUGUUAGCGGCGGACGGGUGAGUAACACGUGGAUAACCUACCUAUAAGACUGGGAUAACUUCGGGAAACCGGAGCUAAUACCGGAUGAUAUUUUGAACCGCAUGUUUCAAAAGUGAAAGACGGUCUUGCUGUCACUUAUAGAUGGAUCCGCGCUGCAUUAGCUAGUUGGUAAGGUAGCGGCUUACCAAGGCAACGAUGCAUAGCCGACCUGAGAGGGUGAUCGGCCACACUGGAACUGAGACACGGUCCAGACUCCUACGGGAGGCAGCAGUAGGGAAUCUUCCGCAAUGGGCGAAAGCCUGACGGAGCAACGCCGCGUGAGUGAUGAAGGUCUUCGGAUCGUAAAACUCUGUUAUUAGGGAAGAACAUAUGUGUAAGUAACUGUGCACAUCUUGACGGUACCUAAUCAGAAAGCCACGGCUAACUACGUG
This 497-nucleotide ribosomal RNA is filed under the name uncultured bacterium. Its description in RNAcentral is "partial 16S ribosomal RNA". It matches the Rfam family "Bacterial small subunit ribosomal RNA", at positions 28 to 507 of the family's 1533-position model. The record is from RNAcentral.